This 453-nucleotide ribosomal RNA is filed under the name uncultured bacterium. Its description in RNAcentral is "bacterial SSU rRNA". It matches the Rfam family "Bacterial small subunit ribosomal RNA", at positions 335 to 779 of the family's 1533-position model. The record is from RNAcentral.
ACUCCUACGGGAGGCAGCAGUAGGGGAAUCUUCCACAAUGGGCGCAAGCCUGAUGGAGCAACACCGCGUGAGUGAAGAAGGGUUUCGGCUCGUAAAGCUCUGUUGUUAAAGAAGAACACGUAUGAGAGUAACUGUUCAUACGUUGACGGUAUUUAACCAGAAAGUCACGGCUAACUACGUGCCAGCAGCCGCGGUAAUACGUAGGUGGCAAGCGUUAUCCGGAUUUAUUGGGCGUAAAGAGAGUGCAGGCGGUUUUCUAAGUCUGAUGUGAAAGCCUUCGGCUUAACCGGAGAAGUGCAUCGGAAACUGGAUAACUUGAGUGCAGAAGAGGGUAGUGGAACUCCAUGUGUAGCGGUGGAAUGCGUAGAUAUAUGGAAGAACACCAGUGGCGAAGGCGGCUACCUGGUCUGCAACUGACGCUGAGACUCGAAAGCAUGGGUAGCGAACAGGAUU